Molecule: ribosomal RNA, 2529 nt
Filed under: Escherichia coli
Lineage: Bacteria; Pseudomonadati; Pseudomonadota; Gammaproteobacteria; Enterobacterales; Enterobacteriaceae
Description: bacterial LSU rRNA
Rfam family: Bacterial large subunit ribosomal RNA
Source: RNAcentral
AGCCCAGAGCCUGAAUCAGUGUGUGUGUUAGUGGAAGCGUCUGGAAAGGCGCGCGAUACAGGGUGACAGCCCCGUACACAAAAAUGCACAUGCUGUGAGCUCGAUGAGUAGGGCGGGACACGUGGUAUCCUGUCUGAAUAUGGGGGGACCAUCCUCCAAGGCUAAAUACUCCUGACUGACCGAUAGUGAACCAGUACCGUGAGGGAAAGGCGAAAAGAACCCCGGCGAGGGGAGUGAAAAAGAACCUGAAACCGUGUACGUACAAGCAGUGGGAGCACGCUUAGGCGUGUGACUGCGUACCUUUUGUAUAAUGGGUCAGCGACUUAUAUUCUGUAGCAAGGUUAACCGAAUAGGGGAGCCGAAGGGAAACCGAGUCUUAACUGGGCGUUAAGUUGCAGGGUAUAGACCCGAAACCCGGUGAUCUAGCCAUGGGCAGGUUGAAGGUUGGGUAACACUAACUGGAGGACCGAACCGACUAAUGUUGAAAAAUUAGCGGAUGACUUGUGGCUGGGGGUGAAAGGCCAAUCAAACCGGGAGAUAGCUGGUUCUCCCCGAAAGCUAUUUAGGUAGCGCCUCGUGAAUUCAUCUCCGGGGGUAGAGCACUGUUUCGGCAAGGGGGUCAUCCCGACUUACCAACCCGAUGCAAACUGCGAAUACCGGAGAAUGUUAUCACGGGAGACACACGGCGGGUGCUAACGUCCGUCGUGAAGAGGGAAACAACCCAGACCGCCAGCUAAGGUCCCAAAGUCAUGGUUAAGUGGGAAACGAUGUGGGAAGGCCCAGACAGCCAGGAUGUUGGCUUAGAAGCAGCCAUCAUUUAAAGAAAGCGUAAUAGCUCACUGGUCGAGUCGGCCUGCGCGGAAGAUGUAACGGGGCUAAACCAUGCACCGAAGCUGCGGCAGCGACGCUUAUGCGUUGUUGGGUAGGGGAGCGUUCUGUAAGCCUGUGAAGGUGUGCUGUGAGGCAUGCUGGAGGUAUCAGAAGUGCGAAUGCUGACAUAAGUAACGAUAAAGCGGGUGAAAAGCCCGCUCGCCGGAAGACCAAGGGUUCCUGUCCAACGUUAAUCGGGGCAGGGUGAGUCGACCCCUAAGGCGAGGCCGAAAGGCGUAGUCGAUGGGAAACAGGUUAAUAUUCCUGUACUUGGUGUUACUGCGAAGGGGGGACGGAGAAGGCUAUGUUGGCCGGGCGACGGUUGUCCCGGUUUAAGCGUGUAGGCUGGUUUUCCAGGCAAAUCCGGAAAAUCAAGGCUGAGGCGUGAUGACGAGGCACUACGGUGCUGAAGCAACAAAUGCCCUGCUUCCAGGAAAAGCCUCUAAGCAUCAGGUAACAUCAAAUCGUACCCCAAACCGACACAGGUGGUCAGGUAGAGAAUACCAAGGCGCUUGAGAGAACUCGGGUGAAGGAACUAGGCAAAAUGGUGCCGUAACUUCGGGAGAAGGCACGCUGAUAUGUAGGUGAAGUCCCUCGCGGAUGGAGCUGAAAUCAGUCGAAGAUACCAGCUGGCUGCAACUGUUUAUUAAAAACACAGCACUGUGCAAACACGAAAGUGGACGUAUACGGUGUGACGCCUGCCCGGUGCCGGAAGGUUAAUUGAUGGGGUCAGCGCAAGCGAAGCUCUUGAUCGAAGCCCCGGUAAACGGCGGCCGUAACUAUAACGGUCCUAAGGUAGCGAAAUUCCUUGUCGGGUAAGUUCCGACCUGCACGAAUGGCGUAAUGAUGGCCAGGCUGUCUCCACCCGAGACUCAGUGAAAUUGAACUCGCUGUGAAGAUGCAGUGUACCCGCGGCAAGACGGAAAGACCCCGUGAACCUUUACUAUAGCUUGACACUGAACAUUGAGCCUUGAUGUGUAGGAUAGGUGGGAGGCUUAGAAGUGUGGACGCCAGUCUGCAUGGAGCCGACCUUGAAAUACCACCCUUUAAUGUUUGAUGUUCUAACGUUGACCCGUAAUCCGGGUUGCGGACAGUGUCUGGUGGGUAGUUUGACUGGGGCGGUCUCCUCCUAAAGAGUAACGGAGGAGCACGAAGGUUGGCUAAUCCUGGUCGGACAUCAGGAGGUUAGUGCAAUGGCAUAAGCCAGCUUGACUGCGAGCGUGACGGCGCGAGCAGGUGCGAAAGCAGGUCAUAGUGAUCCGGUGGUUCUGAAUGGAAGGGCCAUCGCUCAACGGAUAAAAGGUACUCCGGGGAUAACAGGCUGAUACCGCCCAAGAGUUCAUAUCGACGGCGGUGUUUGGCACCUCGAUGUCGGCUCAUCACAUCCUGGGGCUGAAGUAGGUCCCAAGGGUAUGGCUGUUCGCCAUUUAAAGUGGUACGCGAGCUGGGUUUAGAACGUCGUGAGACAGUUCGGUCCCUAUCUGCCGUGGGCGCUGGAGAACUGAGGGGGGCUGCUCCUAGUACGAGAGGACCGGAGUGGACGCAUCACUGGUGUUCGGGUUGUCAUGCCAAUGGCACUGCCCGGUAGCUAAAUGCGGAAGAGAUAAGUGCUGAAAGCAUCUAAGCACGAAACUUGCCCCGAGAUGAGUUCUCCCUGAC